This 242-nucleotide ribosomal RNA is filed under the name uncultured Porphyromonadaceae bacterium. RNAcentral describes it as "partial 16S ribosomal RNA". It matches the Rfam family "Bacterial small subunit ribosomal RNA", at positions 796 to 1041 of the family's 1533-position model. Lineage: Bacteria; Pseudomonadati; Bacteroidota; Bacteroidia; Bacteroidales; Porphyromonadaceae. The record is from RNAcentral.
CACGCAGUAAACGAUGAUUACUAGCUGUUUGCGAUACAAUGUAAGCGGCUGAGCGAAAGCGUUAAGUAAUCCACCUGGGGAGUACGUUCGCAAGAAUGAAACUCAAAGGAAUUGACGGGGGCCCGCACAAGCGGAGGAACAUGUGGUUUAAUUCGAUGAUACGCGAGGAACCUUACCCGGGCUUGAAAUGCAUCUGACCGGCCUUGAAAGAGGCUUUCCCUUCGGGGCAGAUGUGUAGGUGC